AUGCACCAUCGACGGACGAAGCAUAUUGAGCUCGAUAUUCACUUCGUGCGCGAGCAGGUUGCCCUUGGUCGUGUUCGGGUUCUCCACGUGCCGACGACGCAACAGUUUGCUGAUGUGAUGACUAAGGGAUUGCCUACUCCCGUCUUCGAGGAGUUUCGGUCCAGUCUCUGUGUCUCCGGCGACGCUUCGACUGCAGGGGGGUGUUGA
This 207-nucleotide ribosomal RNA is filed under the name Triticum aestivum (bread wheat). RNAcentral's name for it is "partial small subunit ribosomal RNA". Lineage: Eukaryota; Viridiplantae; Streptophyta; Magnoliopsida; Poales; Poaceae. The record is from RNAcentral.